Molecule: transfer RNA, 72 nt
Filed under: Loxodonta africana (African savanna elephant)
Lineage: Eukaryota; Metazoa; Chordata; Mammalia; Proboscidea; Elephantidae
Rfam family: tRNA
About the family: Transfer RNA (tRNA) molecules are approximately 80 nucleotides in length. Their secondary structure includes four short double-helical elements and three loops (D, anti-codon, and T loops). Further hydrogen bonds mediate the characteristic L-shaped molecular structure. tRNAs have two regions of fundamental functional importance: the anti-codon, which is responsible for specific mRNA codon recognition, and the 3' end, to which the tRNAs corresponding amino acid is attached (by aminoacyl-tRNA synthetases). tRNAs cope with the degeneracy of the genetic code in two manners: having more than one tRNA (with a specific anti-codon) for a particular amino acid; and 'wobble' base-pairing, i.e. permitting non-standard base-pairing at the 3rd anti-codon position.
Source: Rfam by way of RNAcentral
GCCCUGGUGGCUUAAUGGUUAAGUGUUUAGCUACUAACUAAAAGGUUGUCAGUUCAAACCCACCCAGUGGCU